This 406-nucleotide ribosomal RNA is filed under the name uncultured bacterium. RNAcentral's name for it is "bacterial SSU rRNA". It matches the Rfam family "Bacterial small subunit ribosomal RNA", at positions 30 to 416 of the family's 1533-position model. The record is from RNAcentral.
AGCGAACGCUGGCGGCGUACUUAACACAUGCAAGUCGAACGAGGAGCCUCGGUGUAGCAAUACAUUGGAGCUUCGAGUGGCGCACGGGUGAGUAACACGUGGGCAACCUGCCCUUGAGACCGGGAUACCCCCUCGAAAGGGGGGCGUAAUACUGGAUACGCUCCUCGGGUCGCGAGACCUAGGGAGGAAAGGUGGCGCAAGCUGCCGCUCUUGGAGGGGCUCGCGGCCUANCAGCUAGUUGGUGAGGUCACGGCUCACCAAGGCGAUGACGGGUAGCUGGUCUGAGAGGACGACCAGCCACACGGGGACUGAGACACGGCCCCGACUCCUACGGGAGGCAGCAGUGGGGAAUUUUCCGCAAUGGGCGAAAGCCUGACGGAGUGACGCCGCGUGGGGGACGAAGGCC